GCCCUAGUAGCUUAGUCUAAAAGCAUCGGUCUUGUAAUCCGAAGAUCGGAG
This 51-nucleotide transfer RNA is filed under the name Barbus plebejus ssp. o FP-2019. Its description in RNAcentral is "partial tRNA-Thr". It matches the Rfam family "tRNA", at positions 1 to 50 of the family's 71-position model. From Rfam's summary of the family: Transfer RNA (tRNA) molecules are approximately 80 nucleotides in length. Their secondary structure includes four short double-helical elements and three loops (D, anti-codon, and T loops). Further hydrogen bonds mediate the characteristic L-shaped molecular structure. tRNAs have two regions of fundamental functional importance: the anti-codon, which is responsible for specific mRNA codon recognition, and the 3' end, to which the tRNAs corresponding amino acid is attached (by aminoacyl-tRNA synthetases). tRNAs cope with the degeneracy of the genetic code in two manners: having more than one tRNA (with a specific anti-codon) for a particular amino acid; and 'wobble' base-pairing, i.e. permitting non-standard base-pairing at the 3rd anti-codon position. Lineage: Eukaryota; Metazoa; Chordata; Actinopteri; Cypriniformes; Cyprinidae. The record is from RNAcentral.